This 520-nucleotide ribosomal RNA is filed under the name uncultured Glomus. RNAcentral's name for it is "SSU rRNA". It matches the Rfam family "Eukaryotic small subunit ribosomal RNA", at positions 569 to 1081 of the family's 1831-position model. Lineage: Eukaryota; Fungi; Glomeromycota; Glomeromycetes; Glomerales; Glomeraceae. The record is from RNAcentral.
AGCAGCCGCGGUAAUUCCAGCUCCAAUAGCGUAUAUUAAAGUUGUUGCAGUUAAAAAGCUUGUAGUUGAAUUUCGGGGUUAGUAGGCUGGUCAUGCCACAGGUAUGUACUGGUCUCACUGAUUCCUCCUUCCUGAUGAUCCGUAAUGCCAUUAAUUUGGUGUUGCGAGGAAUCUGGACUGUUACUUUGAAAAAAUUUGAGUGUUUAAAGCAGGCUAACGCUUGAAUACAUUAGCAUGGAAUAAUGAAAUAGGACGUUCGAUCCUAUUUUGUUGGUUUCUAGGAUUGACGUAAUGAUUAAUAGGGAUAGUUGGGGGCAUUAGUAUUCAAUUGUCAGAGGUGAAAUUCUUGGAUUUAUUGAAGACUAACUACUGCGAAAGCAUUUUGCCAAGGAUUGUUUUCAUUAAUACAAGAACGAAGUUAGGGAUCGAAGACGAUCAGAUACCGUGUAGUCUAACCAUAAACUAUCNCCGACGUAGGGNUCGGAUGGUAUUAGUUUAAUUUUUUAAUGUACUUCUAUUC